UACGGGGGGGGCAAGCGUUGUUCGGAAUUACUGGGCGUAAAGGGCGCGUAGGCGGCCUGCUAAGUCGGAUGUGAAAUCCCUCGGCUCAAUCGAGGAACUGCAUCCGAUACUGGCGGGCUUGAAUCCGGGAGAGGGAUGUGGAAUUCCAGGUGUAGCGGUGAAAUGCGUAGAUAUCUGGAGGAACACCAAUGGCGAAGGCAGCUCGCUGGGACGUGACUGACGCUGAGACGCGAAAGCGUGGGGAGCAAACAGG
This 253-nucleotide ribosomal RNA is filed under the name uncultured bacterium. RNAcentral describes it as "partial 16S ribosomal RNA". It matches the Rfam family "Bacterial small subunit ribosomal RNA", at positions 524 to 776 of the family's 1533-position model. The record is from RNAcentral.